Molecule: ribosomal RNA, 460 nt
Filed under: uncultured bacterium
Lineage: Bacteria
Description: partial 16S ribosomal RNA
Rfam family: Bacterial small subunit ribosomal RNA
Source: RNAcentral
CCUACGGGAGGCAGCAGUGAGGAAUAUUGGUCAAUGGACGAGAGUCUGAACCAGCCAAGUAGCGUGAAGGAUGACUGCCCUAUGGGUUGUAAACUUCUUUUAUAUGGGAAUAAAACGUUCCACGUGUGGGAUUUUGUAUGUACCAUAUGAAUAAGGAUAGGCUAACUCCGUGCCAGCAGCCGCGGUAAUACGGAGGAGCCGAGCGUUAUCCGGAUUUAUUGGGUUUAAAGGGAGCGUAGGUGGAUUGUUAAGUCAGUUGUGAAAGUUUGCGGCUCAACCGUAAAAUUGCAGUUGAAACUGGAAGUCUUGAGUACAGUAGAGGUGAGCGGAAUUCGUGGUGUAGCGGUGAAAUGCUUAGAUAUCACGAAGAACUCCGGUUGCGAAGGCAGUUCACUGGACUGCAACUGACACUGAGGCUCGAAAGUGUGGGUAUCAAACAGGAUUAGAUACCCGAGUAGUC